Molecule: ribosomal RNA, 278 nt
Filed under: uncultured Rikenellaceae bacterium
Lineage: Bacteria; Pseudomonadati; Bacteroidota; Bacteroidia; Bacteroidales; Rikenellaceae
Description: partial 16S ribosomal RNA
Rfam family: Bacterial small subunit ribosomal RNA
Source: RNAcentral
GCAGCCGCGGUAAUACGGGGGAUGCAAGCGUUAUCCGGAUUUAUUGGGUUUAAAGGGUGCGUAGGCGGUCUGAUAAGUCAGCGGUGAAAUUUAGGGGCUCAACCUCUACCGUGCCGUUGAUACUGUUGGGCUAGAAUGCGGAUGCCGUGGGAGGAAUGUGUGGUGUAGCGGUGAAAUGCAUAGAUAUCACACAGAACACCGAUUGCGAAGGCAUCUCACGAAUCCGCAAUUGACGCUGAGGCACGAAAGCGUGGGGAUCAAACAGGAUUAGAUACCCC